This 906-nucleotide ribosomal RNA is filed under the name Paraconiothyrium fuckelii. Its description in RNAcentral is "eukaryotic LSU rRNA". It matches the Rfam family "Eukaryotic large subunit ribosomal RNA", at positions 38 to 961 of the family's 3401-position model. The record is from RNAcentral. Lineage: Eukaryota; Fungi; Ascomycota; Dothideomycetes; Pleosporales; Didymosphaeriaceae.
GCAUAUCAAUAAGCGGAGGAAAAGAAACCAACAGGGAUUGCCCUAGUAACGGCGAGUGAAGCGGCAACAGCUCAAAUUUGAAAUCUGGCUCUCUUUGGGGGUCCGAGUUGUAAUUUGCAGAGGAUGCUUUGGCAUUGGCGGCGGUCUAAGUUCCUUGGAACAGGACAUCGCAGAGGGUGAGAAUCCCGUACGUGGGCGCCUGCCUUUGCCGUGUAAAGCUCCUUCGACGAGUCGAGUUGUUUGGGAAUGCAGCUCUAAAUGGGAGGUAAAUUUCUUCUAAAGCUAAAUACCGGCCAGAGACCGAUAGCGCACAAGUAGAGUGAUCGAAAGAUGAAAAGUACUUUGGAAAGAGAGUCAAAAAGCACGUGAAAUUGUUGAAAGGGAAGCGCUUGCAGCCAGACUUGCCCGCAGUUGCUCACCUAGGCUUUGGCCUGGGGCACUCUUCUGCGGGCAGGCCAGCAUCAGUUUGGGCGGUUGGAUAAAGGCCUCUGUCACGUAUCUCCCUUCGGGGUGACCUUAUAGGGGAGGCGUAAUGCAACCAGCCCGGACUGAGGUCCGCGCAUCUGCUAGGAUGCUGGCGUAAUGGCUGUAAGCGGCCCGUCUUGAAACACGGACCAAGGAGUCUAACAUCUAUGCGAGUGUUUGGGUGUCAAGCCCGGGCGCGCAAUGAAAGUGAACGGAGGUGGGAACCCUUUGGGUGCACCAUCGACCGAUCCUGAUGUCUUCGGAUGGAUUUGAGUAAGAGCAUAGCUGUUGGGACCCGAAAGAUGGUGAACUAUGCUUGAAUAGGGUGAAGCCAGAGGAAACUCUGGUGGAGGCUCGCAGCGGUUCUGACGUGCAAAUCGAUCGUCAAAUUUGGGCAUAGGGGCGAAAGACUAAUCGAACCAUCUAGUAGCUGGUUCCUGC